Molecule: non-coding RNA, 206 nt
Organism: Podarcis lilfordi (Lilford's wall lizard)
Lineage: Eukaryota; Metazoa; Chordata; Lepidosauria; Squamata; Lacertidae
Source: the annotation of a GenBank genome assembly
AUCUGGCUGAUUGGCUGGGGCCAUUUGGUUUUUGCCUACUGCGUAGCAAAUCGUCACAACUUGUAAGGUUCGCAGUUAGGCAUUGGUUUAUGGUUUGGUUGGUUGAGGGGCAUGGAUUGGCUGUGCCUGCCCCUCAAAUGCUGCUGCUGCAAGGGAUUCUGUUAAAGGAAUCGGGGGCUAACUAUUGCUUGUCCACUCUGUCAAGG